This 27-nucleotide small RNA is filed under the name Bombyx mori (domestic silkworm). Its description in RNAcentral is "ovarian small RNA-6221". The record is from RNAcentral. Lineage: Eukaryota; Metazoa; Arthropoda; Insecta; Lepidoptera; Bombycidae.
UACUUCGCUUGCGAAUCAUGGGAUAGA